UACUAUGCUUUAAAACAAACAGAGGGAAACUUAAUUAAAAUCAACUAUCCCCCCUUUCAAUAUCUUCUACAGGUACUGCCCUGCUACAGGAAGUCAGUACCCAGGGAAGUCAAUAAAAGCUUCCCUCACCAACAUGGCUGGUUCCCCACUUCCUGUCAAGAUGGAGGACCAUACCACCACACCCAACUCAGGACACUCCCAACCACAGGCCUCCAGUCCUGAUACCCCAGGGAAAACUCAAGCGAGGAAGACCAAAAAACACCUGGAGGAGCACUGUUGAGGCAGAUCUGAAAGACAUGCAUAUGAGGUGGGGAGAGGCGGAGAAGGUGGACAAAGAUAGAUCAUU
Molecule: long non-coding RNA, 346 nt
Organism: Acipenser ruthenus (sterlet)
Lineage: Eukaryota; Metazoa; Chordata; Actinopteri; Acipenseriformes; Acipenseridae
Exons: 3
Source: RefSeq, a predicted model, not a curated record